RNAcentral lists this small RNA (32 nucleotides) under Bombyx mori (domestic silkworm). RNAcentral describes it as "ovarian small RNA-13871". The record is from RNAcentral. Lineage: Eukaryota; Metazoa; Arthropoda; Insecta; Lepidoptera; Bombycidae.
CCGCCGUCGACAGACGGUGUGUAACCUACCGC